UGAGGGAAUGUUAUCUUGACAUUUGGGCUUCUGGGUUCUAGAUGUGGAUACAAGGUGGGGUGAUCCCUUCUUAGGAAAAGUCCAGCCUCUUCUGUGCUCUCUCCCUUAUGUGGCUUUUUGGACGUUUGUUACAUGGUGUUUCAUUUCUGAAUAUUAUUUUAGGCCCCUGUUUGCAAUCACAGAGCAAAACUCUGUCUCAAAAAAAAAAAAAAAAAAAAAAAGGAGGAGGAAGGAACAAAAUUGCCGCUCAGGACAAUGGCAAUUUUCUGGUUGUGACAAUUGUACCACGGUCAUAUAAGAUGGCAAUGUUCAGGAAGCUGAGUAAGGGCUAUAUGGAAACUAGAUAAUUUUUU
Molecule: long non-coding RNA, 353 nt
Filed under: Pan troglodytes (chimpanzee)
Lineage: Eukaryota; Metazoa; Chordata; Mammalia; Primates; Hominidae
Description: long non-coding RNA NONPTRT009416
Source: RNAcentral